UUGGUUUCAGAUUGAAGGAUUCAAUAUUACAGUCGUGGUGAGACACCGAUUUUUGAAGGUUUGGCAUAUCAGUAUCCUGGUGAUCGGCUCGCUUAUUGCCCACAACCUCGACGUCCAACGGCUUUUAACUUCUUUUACUACUGUUAAGAACUCAGGCGCCUGCGUCAGGACAUUACCCAUCGCACCAUAACAACAAUAUACGG
Long non-coding RNA from Photinus pyralis (common eastern firefly), 203 nucleotides. RefSeq lists it as uncharacterized. The transcript is spliced from 4 exons. NCBI's taxonomy places the organism in Eukaryota, Metazoa, Arthropoda, Insecta, Coleoptera, Lampyridae. The record is from RefSeq and is a predicted model, not a curated record.